RNAcentral lists this non-coding RNA (105 nucleotides) under Staphylococcus aureus. Its description in RNAcentral is "TPP sequence". It matches the Rfam family "TPP riboswitch aptamer (THI element)". Rfam says of the family: Vitamin B(1) in its active form thiamin pyrophosphate (TPP) is an essential coenzyme that is synthesised by coupling of pyrimidine and thiazole moieties in bacteria. Lineage: Bacteria; Bacillati; Bacillota; Bacilli; Caryophanales; Staphylococcaceae. The record is from RNAcentral.
UAAAUGCACUAGGGGUGUUUUGAAACUGAGACAGACAUGAAAAGGUCUGAACCCUUUGUACCUGAUCUAGAUGAUACUAGCGUAGGAAAGUGUUCGUAAAUCAUA